Molecule: ribosomal RNA, 275 nt
Filed under: uncultured prokaryote
Description: partial 16S ribosomal RNA
Rfam family: Bacterial small subunit ribosomal RNA
Source: RNAcentral
UACGGAGGAUCCGAGCGUUAUCCGGAUUUAUUGGGUUUAAAGGGUGCGCAGGCGGGGGAUUAAGUCGGCGGUGAAAUUUUGCAGCUCAACUGUAAAAGUGCCUUCGAAACUGGUUUCCUUGAGUGUAGAUGAAGUAGGCGGAAUUUGUGGUGUAGCGGUGAAAUGCAUAGAUAACACGAGGAACUCCGAUUGCGCAGGCAGCUUACUAAACUACUACUGACGCUCAGGCACGAAGGCGUGGGGAUCAAACAGGAUUAGAUACCCUGGUAGUCCCU